GACGAACGCUGGCGGCGUGCCUAAUACAUGCAAGUCGAGCGGGCCUCCGGAGGUGCUUGCACCUCCGGAAGGCCAGCGGCGGACGGGUGAGUAACACGUGGGCAACCUGCCUUUGAGGCCGGGAUAACACCGGGAAACCGGUGCUAAUACCGGAUACGUCCUCUUUCGCGCCUGCGAGAGGGGAGAAAGACGGUCUUUAAGGCCGUCGCUCAAAGAGGGGCCCGCGGCGCAUUAGCUGGUUGGUGGGGUAAGGGCCUACCAAGGCGACGAUGCGUUGCCGACCUGGGAGGGUGAUCGGCCACACUGGGACUGAGACACGGCCCAGACUACUGCGGGAGGCAGCAGUAGGGAAUCAUCCGCAAUGGGCGAAAGCCUGACGGUGCAACGCCGCGUGAGUGAGGAAGGUUUUCGGAUCGUAAAGCUCUGUUGUGAGGGAAGAACAGCUUCCGGAGGAAAUGCCGGAGGUUUGCCGGUACCUCACCAGAAAGCCCCGGCUAACUACGUGCCAGCAGCCGCAGUAA
RNAcentral lists this ribosomal RNA (521 nucleotides) under uncultured bacterium. RNAcentral's name for it is "partial 16S ribosomal RNA". It matches the Rfam family "Bacterial small subunit ribosomal RNA", at positions 28 to 523 of the family's 1533-position model. The record is from RNAcentral.